GGUAAGAUGGCUGAGAUAUAGGCGAUAAACUGUAAAUUUAUUAACGAGUUAACCUCUUUUGCCA
This 64-nucleotide transfer RNA is filed under the name Margarinotus merdarius. Its description in RNAcentral is "tRNA-Tyr". Lineage: Eukaryota; Metazoa; Arthropoda; Insecta; Coleoptera; Histeridae. The record is from RNAcentral.